CUAAAACUAAUUUUUAGUUUAACUCCAAAACCAUUAAAUCUUUUUUUUUGCCAAUCUAAAACUAUUCUAAAGUUACAUAUUUAAUUUCAAAAAUAUUGGAAACUUUUUUCCACCAAAAAGUUUAUAUGAUCAGAAGUCACCAAUUGUCAGUGGAGGAAAUUGUGGUCCCGAGAAAGGUCAUCAGCUCAGUCCCCCACUGAUGGCUUUGGCUGGGGUCACUUUGAACUCGGGAACCAAUAGCAUCUGCAGAACCAGAUUUCAACCACCUUUCAGACCCCAUUUGUAUGACAGAUUCAGGGAAGUUCGGGGCUUCCUGCCCUGGUGUCUCUUCCCGAAGCAGGUAGUUCUCAGGGGAAUGUGUCUGACACAUUCAUAGGCAGCUGGUGUUCCUCAGCCUAAGACUCUGAAGGCUGUGAUCGGAAAGUUCCAUGUCAGGGAAACAUGCCCAACACAGACCCCUCAUGCAAUAAGGUAGCACAGAGCUGGCCCCAGGCUCCUGUCCCUGCACGCCCCUCCCGUGCUUCCUGGCUUCUCCCACACUCCUCUCUGUUCCAGAAUUCGGGUCUGUGACGCCCACUUCCCUCGGGCUUGGGACCUGGGCCUGGACACUCUUCUCUUUCCCAAGCAACAUUGGCCUCCGAGGCUUUGAACACCAUCUCUGGUUGUAGUAUGUUUCUGAUCCAGGCUGAGAGAAGAGAUUCUGAGAUGCCACCUGUCCCUUGACAGCAGCACGCUUGACGACCCCCUUGGGCUUACUGGAUUCGGGAGGCUGCACCAGGCUGGUGUGCUGAGGGACAGGUAAAGGCAUCCUGAGGAUUUCUCCCAGAGCCGGGGGCAUCAAUUUCCCCCACAACAUAUCCACCUGGGCCUGCUUCUCCCAGCCCGCUGAGGAACGCUGGUAGUAAAACAGCAGAACAGACGGCUGCUUUAUGGGCCAGAAGAAAGUGAUUUCCCACCUGGGGCCAGUAAAGAAUCCAAGGCUCCAUUCUGUCCUUUCCCUCCGAGAAGGUUUUUCCUCCUGUCUCAAGUGAUCUCAUGGGGCCAUUAGCUUAGACACAGCAGCAGAAAUGCCAGGGACAGGUGGGCUAUCUUAAAAGGAUGCUCUCUCAUCCCAUCCACAAAGGAGGUAGGCCCAGAGCCGUCGCCCGCAUCCCCCAGACCCAAUCAAGCCCAGCUUUCUUUCGGUGCCACUCGCCCAGCCCCAGCUAUCUCUCCAGGACCUGUGAUUCCGCAGAGAGUAGUUCCUAAGAACUGCUCCCGCUUGGUAUCCUCUUAAGAGUGAAAUGGCCAAAUUAAAAAGCUCAGACAAAACUGGUGUUAUGAAAAUGUGGAGUAACUGGAGAACCUGCCCCCUGCUGGUGGCAGCGGGUCUCAGAUGGUGCAGGCUGCUCUAACAAUUUGCCAGAGACGGGACAGCUUAAAAGACAACAUGUAUCUCGCAGUUCCAGAGGCUGGGGAGCUCAAGAUGCAGGUGACAGCAGACUUGGUGUCUGAUGAGAAUGCUCUUCUGGAUGCCAGAUGGCCAUCGUAUCCUCCCAGGGUGGAGAGCCGAGAGGGAGGAAGUGACCUCGAGGUGUCUCUGCUUAUAAGGCCACUAAUCCCAUUAUGAAGACUCUACCCUUGAGACCUGAUCUCCGGAUGUCAUCACAUUGGGGUUUAGGGUUCCAACAGGUGAGUUGGGGAGUGCAUUCAGUCCACAGCAAAGUGCAAAUAGGUACAGCCCCUGGAAGACCAUUUAGAAGUUGAAGUUGAACACGCAUGUGCCCCGGGACCCAGCAACCCCGCUCCUUAGCACAGCCUCAACAGAAAUGCCUACAUUUGUUCAUCGAAGGACAUGUGCCGCCUGUUCCUAACACACUUUUCGUGGCAGCCCCAGGUUGGAAACAAGCCCCGAUCCCCAGUAGUGAGCAAACUAUAAGGUGCACACAUGGGACUGGAACACCAACGGGCAUCAAUGAGCCGCAACCCCCUGCAGCCCCCUGGACGGUCUCACCAACAGAAGGCUGAGCGAAAGAAGCCAGCCACCGGGAGGGACGCUGCUGUGUGAGUCCCCAAGGCCAACUCAUAACCACACAAAGACAAGUCAUGGAAGCCAAAGUCAGGAGAGCGGUCGGGCCUGGGGAUGAGUGGAACAGUCGUGAGGAAAGGACAGAAGGGGCUCUGGGACUGUGGCGACCCUCCGUUCCUCCAUCUGUGCACCAGCUACGACGGGGAGCUCACUUAUAGUUCUUUUGCUUAUUUAGGAUCACAAUAAACAAAAGUCUAAUUUUCAGAUUUAUUCUUCCAAAUAUACCAGUCGCUCAGCUGCUGAGGCUGGCCUCAAACUUGUGAUCCUCCCUACCUCACCCCACCUCAACCAUCAUUUGGACUUUGUAAGAGCAGAAAUAAACCUCUGUCAUAUUUAGCCACUGAGAUUUGGGGAUUAAUCUAUUACAGGGCUAAUGUUGGCUUUAACUGAUACAGAAGGUAGGUAGCGGUGGCAAGGUAUGAGCCUGCUGAAAGACUGAAAUGUAAUAAGGUAUGUAAAUUGCUACAUCUGUAGAAGAUGCUCAAUAAAUGGGAGCUAUUAUUAUUU
Molecule: long non-coding RNA, 2575 nt
Filed under: Marmota monax (woodchuck)
Lineage: Eukaryota; Metazoa; Chordata; Mammalia; Rodentia; Sciuridae
Source: RNAcentral